GCUGCAUGGCUGUCGUCAGCUCGUGUCGUGAGAUGUUCGGUUAAGUCCGCUAACGAGCGCAACCCUCGCUGUGUGUUAUAUGUGUCACACGGGACUGCCGGUCUUAAGCCGGAGGAAGGUGGGGAUGAUGUCAAGUCAGCAUGGCCUUUAUAUCCUGGGCUACACACACGCUACAAUGGCCAACACAAUAGGUUGCUAAGCCGCGAGGUGGCGCCAAUCCAUAAAGUUGGUCUCAGUUCAGAUUGUAGGCUGCAACCCGCCUGCAUGAAGAUGGAGUUGCUAGUAACCGCAGGUCAGCUAUACUGCGGUGAAUACGUUCCCGGGGCUU
Molecule: ribosomal RNA, 328 nt
Filed under: uncultured Leptolinea sp.
Lineage: Bacteria; Bacillati; Chloroflexota; Anaerolineae; Anaerolineales; Anaerolineaceae
Description: bacterial SSU rRNA
Rfam family: Bacterial small subunit ribosomal RNA
Source: RNAcentral